GGUGGUAUAGCUCAGUGGUAGAGUGCAUACUUCGCAUGUAUGAGCUGGGGGGUUCCAUCCCUGACAUCU
This 69-nucleotide transfer RNA is filed under the name Loxodonta africana (African savanna elephant). It matches the Rfam family "tRNA". From Rfam's summary of the family: Transfer RNA (tRNA) molecules are approximately 80 nucleotides in length. Their secondary structure includes four short double-helical elements and three loops (D, anti-codon, and T loops). The record is from Rfam by way of RNAcentral. Lineage: Eukaryota; Metazoa; Chordata; Mammalia; Proboscidea; Elephantidae.